Cinclus cinclus is the source of this 1865-nucleotide long non-coding RNA. RefSeq lists it as uncharacterized. The record is from RefSeq and is a predicted model, not a curated record. NCBI's taxonomy places the organism in Eukaryota, Metazoa, Chordata, Aves, Passeriformes, Cinclidae. The transcript has 5 exons.
UGGAGGGAGGCUCGCUCCAUCCCCGUUCCAUCCCGGCUCCUGCCGCCCCCUCCCCGCCGCUCCCCCCGCUCCGCACCCGCGGAGCCUCCGCGCACCUGGGGGAGUGCCGGCAUCGCAAUGCUUCCCCCGAGGAGGGAGAACUGAGCGUCCCUUUCCCGCACCCCCGGUUGUCUGUGACCGUUCCGUGUCCUGCUGCUGCUGCUGCUGCAGCCAAUGUGGAUCCGAAUGCUGUGGCUACAGAGGCUUCUUACUGUCUUAUGCUGGGUCCCUCAAAUCCAAGAGCUACUUGGCAGUUUCCAAGGCAACCACCUGUGGAAUAAUUAAAAAGGAUGAAGUUGUUAGCGUGCCAGAUAUAAGGAAUUCUUGCCUGGAGAGAGCGGUUCACUUUCCUCCGUCUUGAAGAAUCAAACAUGCUUCUGCCAGCAAAGUUAAGUAAAAGAAAGGGUGGCUGAGUUGCACAAGUGAACCAGGACGACGCAAAAUGUGCUGAUCUCAAGAGGGCAUCUUGCAUAUGCCAGAGGAAGAACGUCUUGUUUGAGGGAAAACCUGCUUAUAAAUCUGUGCAAAUUGAAAGAUUCUGAGGACAAACCUGUGAGUAAUGAAUUGUUACAGAACUACACAAAUAAAGCUGUGCAUGGUAGAGGCUGAUUUUUCUGUACAGCACAUCUGUGCCUCUCCUUGAUUGUUGUAAGUACCUUGGAGCCAUCAGGCCUUUCCUGCUCUAAGCUCUGAGGAGCUUUGAAAGUACAAAGGUAAAUGUGUGGUGUGCUUGCAUAAUGGGUAAAUUGGGUAUUUCACUAGUGGGAAAGAAUUGCCUUCAUUUGAGGGCUCUUUGCCUGUUCUAGAGCCAUGUUCCCCAGAUCUCUUCAACUCAUGGCACUUCUCAGUGCAGCUGAACAAAGCACAGAAAGGAAUGUGAUGUACUGUCAUCAGUGUAGGAAUCUUUUCAGUACCAAUUUGUCAUUAUUCUCCUCCCAGAUGACACAAAUGCUUUUUUUUUUUUCUUUGCUGUUUGUAUCAAGCCAUCACAGACCUUCUGAUGAUAUUAAAUUCCAAAGCUGUGGGGGCUUUGAUUGUUUCUUGCAUGUUGCUCCUUUUAAGAUGACAGAAUUGUUCAGUGAAAGAAAUUCAAAUUGAGAAAUUCAGGUAAACAGGCCUGUGGGGAAGGUUGAGCCUUGUGUAAAAAUCCAGUAAAACUUGAGUAAGAACCUUAGAGUUCAACGUAUUGAUUUUCUUGUGAAAGUUCAAGAACUGUGUUUCCUUGCAGGCUGAAACUCACCUCAACUCCUCAUGACCAGCUUAGCAAGAGAGAUGGGAUUUGAUGCUAUCCAAGGUGUAAUUCCACAGUUCAUGUCUUUUCCUAGUGCCAGCUUAAUCAGUUUCUGCCCACUCCCAGCCAUUCAUUUCCAGCUCAGCAGCAAUGCAGUGCCACCUCUUCCCUGACUGUGUGGAAAACCAGAUGACUGAAAAUAGCUCGGUCAAGAAAAGAAAUGCUUCAUUUUUUUUAUUUCGUGUUAGAAUCAUUUGAAUGAAUUUUACAGGCCACAGGCAGUCGUAUUGCUACUGCUGAAGGUGACAAGAAGUGCAGCAUCAGAGGCAGCAGUGAGCACUGGAGGGUGUCCCAGUGCUGUGUGAUCUUGCUGUCAACAAAAAUUUGCUCCGGGACCAUAUCCUGAAUGAAGGGCUUUCACUAGCCACAGGAUUAUUUAUUGAAGUGAUGCUUUCCAUUUGUUUUAUUAAGGAAGAUUAACAUCUUCUUGUUAGGGCAGGUUUAUUUUUUUUUACUUGAGGAGAUAAACCAUCUCUGUGAGAAGUCAGUCAGCUUUGUGGACACCCUGAAUGUCAAUAAAGUCUUGGCAAACACA